RNAcentral lists this ribosomal RNA (631 nucleotides) under Halomonas sp. 20/6C3. RNAcentral's name for it is "bacterial SSU rRNA". It matches the Rfam family "Bacterial small subunit ribosomal RNA", at positions 13 to 633 of the family's 1533-position model. Lineage: Bacteria; Pseudomonadati; Pseudomonadota; Gammaproteobacteria; Oceanospirillales; Halomonadaceae. The record is from RNAcentral.
UUGAUCAUGGCUCAGAUUGAACGCUGGCGGCGGGCCUAUCACAUGCAAGUCGAGCGGAAACGAUCCUAGCUUGCUAGGAGGCGUCGAGCGGCGGACGGGUGAGUAAUGCAUGGGAAUCUGCCCGGUAGUGGGGGAUAACUUGAGGAAACUCAAGCUAAUACCGCAUACGCCCUACGGGGGAAAGCAGGGGCUCUUCGGACCUUGCGCUAUCGGAUGAGCUUAUGUCGGAUUAGCUAGUUGGUGAGGUAAUGGCUCACCAAGGCGACGAUCCGUAGCUGGUCUGAGAGGAUGAUCAGCCACAUCGGGACUGAGACACGGCCGGAACUCCUACGGGAGGCAGCAGUGGGGAAUAUUGGACAAUGGGGGCAACCCUGAUCCAGCCAUGCCGCGUGUGUGAAGAAGGCCCUCGGGUUGUAAAGCACUUUCAGCGAGGAAGAAUGCUUGUCGGUUAAUACCCGGCAAGGGAGACAUCACUCGCAGAAGAAGCACCGGCUAACUCCGUGCCAGCAGCCGCGGUAAUACGGAGGGUGCGAGCGUUAAUCGGAAUUACUGGGGCGUAAAGCGUGCGUAGGCGGCUUGAUAAGCCGGUUGUGAAAGCCCCGGGGCUCAACCUGGGAACGGCAUCCGGAAC